This 414-nucleotide unclassified non-coding RNA is filed under the name Bombus terrestris (buff-tailed bumblebee). RNAcentral describes it as "misc RNA ENSBTSG00005022287.1". Lineage: Eukaryota; Metazoa; Arthropoda; Insecta; Hymenoptera; Apidae. The record is from RNAcentral.
UAUUUAUUUUUUAAACAGAAAUUAUUAUGUUCGAAAAAUAUAUUUAGGUUUAUAAAUUGGAAGAAAAUUGAACAAUAAUUUGCACACUAUCAAUGUCGCUGAGACACUGAUAGCGUGGAGCGCAAAUGGUUGAACACUACGGAUAUUAACCUUGAACUUCAGCAGCAAAUUGCUUUAUAAACACACAUGGCAUACUGAACCUUGAACUUCAUGGGAAAAUGAGUGGUCAAACAGGUACGGCGUAGUGGAGACUGAAACGGAAGAUUGAUGAAUUGAUUCAGUUUUUUAAAAUCAAAGACACUGCCAUUGUUGAAUACAAAGAGUUAAUGGCUACUGACAUUAACCCUGAACUUGCACAGUGAAUUAUUCGAUAUACAGCUAGAAAAAUUCACCGAAUGUCCAGCUGGAUAAAUU